UGGGGAAUAUUGGACAAUGGGGGGAACCCUGAUCCAGCCAUGCCGCGUGUGUGAAGAAGGCCUUAUGGUUGUAAAGCACUUUAAGCGAGGAGGAGGGUACUGGUAUUAAUACUACCAGCUACUGGACGUUACUCGCAGAAUAAGCACCGGCUAACUCUGUGCCAGCAGCCGCGGUAAUACAGAGGGUGCGAGCGUUAAUCGGAUUUACUGGGCGUAAAGCGUGCGUAGGCGGCUAAUUGAGUCGGAUGUGAAAUCCCCGAGCUUAACUUGGGAAUUGCAUUCGAUACUGGUUAGCUAGAGUGUGGGAGAGGAUGGUAGAAUUCCAGGUGUAGCGGUGAAAUGCGUAGAGAUCUGGAGGGAUACCGAUGGCGAAGGCAGCCAUCUGGCCUAACACUGACGCUGAGGUACGAAAGCAUGGGGAGCAAACAGG
Molecule: ribosomal RNA, 430 nt
Filed under: Pseudomonadota bacterium
Lineage: Bacteria; Pseudomonadati; Pseudomonadota
Description: Proteobacteria bacterium partial 16S ribosomal RNA
Rfam family: Bacterial small subunit ribosomal RNA
Source: RNAcentral